GCCGGUGUGGUGGAACUGGUAGACACGCAGGAUUUAGGUUCCUGUGUCGAGAGACGUGCAGGUUCGAGUCCUGUCACCGGCA
Molecule: transfer RNA, 82 nt
Filed under: Mumia zhuanghuii
Lineage: Bacteria; Bacillati; Actinomycetota; Actinomycetes; Propionibacteriales; Nocardioidaceae
Also listed under: 1 other name
Description: tRNA-Leu
Rfam family: tRNA
About the family: Transfer RNA (tRNA) molecules are approximately 80 nucleotides in length. Their secondary structure includes four short double-helical elements and three loops (D, anti-codon, and T loops). Further hydrogen bonds mediate the characteristic L-shaped molecular structure. tRNAs have two regions of fundamental functional importance: the anti-codon, which is responsible for specific mRNA codon recognition, and the 3' end, to which the tRNAs corresponding amino acid is attached (by aminoacyl-tRNA synthetases). tRNAs cope with the degeneracy of the genetic code in two manners: having more than one tRNA (with a specific anti-codon) for a particular amino acid; and 'wobble' base-pairing, i.e. permitting non-standard base-pairing at the 3rd anti-codon position.
Source: RNAcentral